This 497-nucleotide ribosomal RNA is filed under the name uncultured bacterium. RNAcentral describes it as "partial 16S ribosomal RNA". It matches the Rfam family "Bacterial small subunit ribosomal RNA", at positions 28 to 507 of the family's 1533-position model. The record is from RNAcentral.
GAUGAACGCUGGCGGCGUGCCUAAUACAUGCAAGUCGAGCGAACAGACGAGGAGCUUGCUCCUCUGACGUUAGCGGCGGACGGGUGAGUAACACGUGGAUAACCCACCUAUAAGACUGGGAUAACUUCGGGAAACCGGAGCUAAUACCGGAUAAUAUAUUGAACCGCAUGGUUCAAUAGUGAAAGACGGUUUUGCUGUCACUUAUAGAUGGAUCCGCGCCGCAUUAGCUAGUUGGUAAGGUAACGGCUUACCAAGGCAACGAGGCGUAGCCGACCUGAGAGAGUGAUCGGCCGCACUGGAACUGAGACACGGUCCAGACUCCUACGGGAGGCAGCAGUAGGGAAUCUUCCGCAGUGGGCGGAAGCCUGACGGAGCAACGCCGCGUGAGUGAUGAAGGUCUUCGGAUCGUAAAACUCUGUUAUUAGGGAAGAACAAAUGUGUAAGUAGCUAUGCACGUCUUGACGGUACCUAGUCAGAAAGCCACGGCUAACUACGUG